UAAAAGGGUCGGUUGGCUAAAUAUGCCACGCUAGCCCUAGUUCGGUUAGUGUUGUAUGGAAAUCAAGACAUAUGGCCGACAUCAUUUUUGGAAACCUCU
Molecule: small nuclear RNA, 99 nt
Organism: Salvia splendens (bonfire salvia)
Lineage: Eukaryota; Viridiplantae; Streptophyta; Magnoliopsida; Lamiales; Lamiaceae
Product: U11 spliceosomal RNA
Exons: 1
Source: RefSeq, a predicted model, not a curated record